RNAcentral lists this ribosomal RNA (410 nucleotides) under uncultured Methylomirabilota bacterium. RNAcentral describes it as "bacterial SSU rRNA". It matches the Rfam family "Bacterial small subunit ribosomal RNA", at positions 1025 to 1434 of the family's 1533-position model. Lineage: Bacteria; Methylomirabilota (SeqCode). The record is from RNAcentral.
AGCGUGGAGACAGGUGGUGCAUGGCUGUCGUCAGCUCGUGUCGUGAGAUGUUGGGUUAAGUCCCGCAACGAGCGCAACCCUCACCCCUUGUUGCUACCAGGUAAAGCUGGGCACUCUAGGGGAACUGCCCCGGUCAACGGGGAGGAAGGCGGGGAUGACGUCAAGUCAUCAUGCCCCCUACGUCCUGGGCUACACACGUGCUACAAUGGCCGGUACAAAGGGAUGCCACACCGCGAGGUAGAGCUAAACCCAAAAAGCCGGUCUAAGUUCAGAUUGGAGUCUGCAACUCGACUCCAUGAAGGAGGAAUCGCUAGUAAUCGCGUAUCAGCACGACGCGGUGAAUACGUUCCCGGGCCUUGUACACACCGCCCGUCACACCACGAAAGCCAGCUGUACUCGAAGUCGCUGAG